GUUCCGUAGGUGAACCUGCGGAAGGAUCAUUCAUAAUAAAGUGUUUUAUGGCACUUUUUAAAAAUCCAUAUCCACCUUGUGUGCAAUGUUAGAUCUCGUCAAUCUUGGCGAGAUUUUUAUACAUCAACUCAUUCUUUAACUAAUUUGUCUGAAAAAUAUUAUGAAUACUUAAUUCAAAAUACAACUUUCAACAACGGAUCUCUUGGCUCUCGCAUCGGUGAAGAACGCAGC
This 231-nucleotide unclassified non-coding RNA is filed under the name plant metagenome. RNAcentral describes it as "partial contains small subunit ribosomal RNA, internal transcribed spacer 1, and 5.8S ribosomal RNA". The stretch from base 183 to 231 matches the Rfam family "5.8S ribosomal RNA", at positions 1 to 49 of the family's 154-position model. The record is from RNAcentral.